Molecule: non-coding RNA, 2404 nt
Organism: Arachis ipaensis
Lineage: Eukaryota; Viridiplantae; Streptophyta; Magnoliopsida; Fabales; Fabaceae
Source: RefSeq, a predicted model, not a curated record
GUGUGUGGUUCAAGGAUUAAUUUUUAUGCCUAGGAAUAUCAUUACUAGAAAUAUGAUUCAUGAAGAACAUAACACUGCUCUAGUUCAAUAUUCCAAACCACAAUAUUUUAUUAGUUGAAUGGUAAAAAUACACAUCAAAAUAUGGUUAAAGAACUAUAACAAUCUAAUUAAGAUAGCAUAUACCAAAGAAAACAACGAUUAUUUUCCUUGAUUGAUAAAGGAAAAGCCGUGAACAGCAACAGCGAACAGCGAACAACGAAGUAAUGAACAUCAAGUGGAAGCAAACAAUACAAGUGAUACAAAUGGAGAAGUGAAUAGCAACAAUAAUUGAAGGAAGAGACAACCAAAACCACUAACAUAAAGAGCAGUUGGAGAACACAGCCACUGUGAAAGUGUUAUAGAGGCAUAUCAAUUUAGAAUCCAAAACAAAAGUAAUACACAAGCAAACAUGCAAUUUUAGAAUCUAAAGUGUUAAGAGUCAUAUCACUGAACACUUGGCGUGCAUGAAUUUAUUAAACAAUAAUUAUCACAAUCCAAGCAAAUCAAAUGCACGAAUUCCUUAAUUUUAAGCACAUCAAACCAAAAUCAAUCAAGAAUUAUUUACAAAUCAUCAAUAACACCAAACUCAAGAACUAAAAAAACAUAUUCAAAGUUCACUAACACUUUACAAAGCAUGCCUAUUAACGGAAAGGAUAAGACAAAUCCUGAAAAAAUCAAUCCACAAGCUCUGAGGCCAAAGUAACUCAUUAAGUCCUUAACUUAUACAAUAUUAAAGGCAUUAAUAUUUUAAAAAAAAAGAACACAAGCUAAUAAGAAAAAGUAAAAAAAACCAAUAUGAGUAACUAAGAGAGAAUUAGGGAAUAUUCAAAUAAAGUUUGCCCAAUUUAAUUCUUUGGUUGAUAUGUAUGCUAAAUGUGACAGAAUCGGGGAAGCAAAUAGGAUUUUUUCAAAUUUGGCUCUUCAAAGUUCAGUUCCUUGGACAGCCCUGAUGUCGGGUAAUGUUCAGAAGGGACACCCUGAAGAAGGUAUAAAGCUAUUCAUUGAGAUGCAAAGAGCUGAAAAGACUGCAGAUGCAGCUACCUAUGCCAGCAUCCUAGAAGCUUGUGCAAAUUUAGCCUCACAGGCUCUGGAAAAGCAGUUACACUCGCACAUAAUCAUAUCAGGGCACAUAUUGUGUUUUUAAUCAGAUCAGGGCACAUAUUGUGAAUUAGGGAGUAUACAAAUCACAUGUACAAAUUCUUCAAUUUUGAGUACAGCAGUCCAAAAUCAAUCAAGAAUUAUCAUCCAAAUCAUCAACAAUACCAAACUCAAGAACUAAAACAUGUUCAAAGUUCACUAACUAAAGUUAAUUCUAAUUUGAAAAUCCUAAUUCAAACUAAGCUAAAUCUAAAAAUUCAGAUUCAAUUAAAUGCAAACUAAAUCCGAACAACAAAAUCAGAAUUAACAUAGAAACAUAGAAACUUCAUCAACUACAAGAUCAGAAAAAAGAAAAUGAACCCUGGUGCGAAUUGACAAGAUGAGUUAUAGGGAGAGGGGGAUGCUAGUUGAACUCAGAAUUGGAGCAGCUAGCAGUUGCAAUGAGCAGAGGGGAUCAAUGCGGUGGCGCAAUAGAGGUUGCCAGGAUGACGCUGGCAGUGGCUGUGCAAGGAGGGUUGACGCACAGGAAGCAGUGGCAGUUAACGAGGGGUGCGGUGGGUCGUGGCUUAGUGGUCAAGGAUAGAUAAAGACAAAGGAAGAAGGCCGGAAGUGUGGCAACCAAGGUUCUGAAAACCGGAUCGGUCAUCAAACCGCUCUAGUUACUGGUUCACUAGUUUACUAGUCCAACCAGUCCAACCGUGGUUCAACCGGAAAAACCGUUCCAUGAUAAAAUAAUAAGUAAAUUAUAAAUAAACAUAAUAAAAUAUCUUUCAAAUUUAAAACCCUAUACAAACUAUCACCAACUAAAUGUAAUUAAUCAUCAAAAUAUGCAAAAUAUGCAAAAUAAUUGCAGUGCACAAGUUAAAGAUAGCCAAUAUUACCAUAACGUAAUUGAGUCAAAAAGUAAAACAAAACAGGCUCUUUUAAUUCUUUUAUGCUUGUAGGCUUUAAUAUAAUCAUUAAUAUAAUCAUUACCAUGCAGAGGAACUUUCCUGAAGGAAUUUAUGGCAACCAAAAUAGGCCCUGCUUUUGUCUGAAUUGUACAAGAUAUGAUUAACAAGGUUAAAUAUUGAAGUUAGUUAAUCAGACCAAACAAGAAUAUUUCCCAGUUGUCUCACUGAGUCCAGCCAAAUGGAAAAAACAUCACUGUGUACUAUUGUAAUUUUAGAUCAUAUCUUACUUUCCCAUCAGGCAGUGAAACAACAGACUCAGUUCCAGAAGAUGUUGUUAUCUUCACCAGCUCCUAAUUCCCAUUUGAAAGUUGGAG